UACGGGGGGGGCAAGCGUUGUUCGGAAUUAUUGGGCGUAAAGAGCUCGUAGGCGGUGUGUCGCGUCGGCCGUGAAAACCUGCAGCUUAACUGUGGGCGUGCGGUCGAUACGGGCAUCACUGGAGUUCGGCAGGGGAGACUGGAAUUCCUGGUGUAGCGGUGAAAUGCGCAGAUAUCAGGAGGAACACCGGUGGCGAAGGCGGGUCUCUGGGCCGAUACUGACGCUGAGGAGCGAAAGCGUGGGGAGCGAACAGG
This 254-nucleotide ribosomal RNA is filed under the name uncultured bacterium. Its description in RNAcentral is "partial 16S ribosomal RNA". It matches the Rfam family "Bacterial small subunit ribosomal RNA", at positions 524 to 776 of the family's 1533-position model. The record is from RNAcentral.